Salvelinus fontinalis (brook trout) is the source of this 1659-nucleotide long non-coding RNA. RefSeq lists it as uncharacterized. The transcript has 2 exons. NCBI's taxonomy places the organism in Eukaryota, Metazoa, Chordata, Actinopteri, Salmoniformes, Salmonidae. The record is from RefSeq and is a predicted model, not a curated record.
CACACCUGAGGUCAUUACAAUUUCCGCAUGACCCACCACAUAAACGAGACAACAACAUUUUCCAACACCACAACUCAUAGCUACGACCGAUGAGGUCCCGACUAGUCAUCCAGAUCCACCAUUUAGGAAGUACUGGAACAGCGCAGAGGACAGCCUGUCAACGACUCUUCGCUUCAACUCCACACAGUCCUUCCCUUCUUACGAAGAGGGAACUGGUGUAUAAAUCGACACCAUGCACGGAGAGAGGUUGGAAAAAUUGGUCAACCGAAACAUCGAAGACGGCAUGAUCCCUUUGGUGCACUGACUCCGCUGAGAGUGAACUUGAGAACAUAGGUUAUUUCAUGAGAGAAAAUGUGAGUUUUCAUACUGCCUCUUUCACAGUAGGCUACUCUAUUUGAAAUGCUGUGUGUUUUGACACUCUCUAGAUAACUUUUGAUUUGGAGUAUUUUUGGCACGCAAUUCUUUCUAGAUAAAUGCAUGAAUAAGAUGCGACAAAAUCUAAGACGUAGCCAAAAUAACAUUUUCAGAUCUUCACAUUAAUUAAUGUUUUUUACCCAUUUUACGCACGCAUUACGCACAACGUGCCCACAGUUUUUACAUGUAUUUUUUGUUGUUGCAUUAAAUGCGUUGUAUGUGGUCUUCUUUGCUAUAGCUUACUGUAUGCAAAUGGUAAAAAUCUUUUCAAUGAUAAUAUACAUUGUGCUUAUGUCGACCCAAAUGUAUUUGGUCACGCCUUACAAAACGCUCAAGUGACGGCGAGAAGAUUUCAGUGCGCUCAAAGUCACUGAACCUUGUUCUAUUGGCCGUUGGACAUAUGUUGGCAAUAUGGAUGUGAUUAAUAUGUUGCCUUUUGAUCAAAGUGCAUGCUGAGUUUAACCACGUAAUGUCAUUGCAUAAUAUUUUGAUUAGGAUUAUUCACUAAGAUUUCAUAAAAUAAUCAUAAUUUCGAAUGUCCAUUGUUCGUUUGAAACCAUGAACUUCAAGUCGCAUUCGACAGCUACUAUCAGGACCUUUGUAUUCUACAUUUUCUGUCAAUUAUAUUGUUUUCCAACACUGUGCACUCACUGUACUCUAACAACACUCAUACUUAAUGUGGCACUCAUUUGUGUGUGUGUGUGUGUGUGUGUGUGUGUGUGUGUGUGUGUGUGUGUGUGUGUGUGUGUGUGUGUGUGUGUGUGUGUGUGUGUGUGUGUGUGUGUGUGUAUUUGAAUGCAUGAAAGACAGAGGAAAAAGGUCCCUUUCCCUUAAAGUUACCAGAAGGACUGGUGUAUAUUGAUAUAAUGCUAAAAAGAGAGGUGGAGUAUAUUGAUAAGUACAUUGAUGAAUCAACAGACUUGUAUAGCAGGUAGGUGUAGCACAGAGAUAGAAAGCAUGUAAAUGAGGUCAUCAGUUGCAGUUGCUGGGGAGAUUUGGACCAGAUUCAUGGAUUGGAGGAGAGAAAGGAGAGGGGAAAGAGAGCCCUGCUGGUGUCAAACUGGGCCUGUAGACUAUACAAGGAGCCAAAUAGUGGGCCAGACAACAACAUUGACUUGGAGAACAGACAAGGAAGAUUGCGAAAGAGUCAUAAGUGUAUCAGACAAGAUUAUUAAUAAUGUUACCCCUGCUUUUUAUAGUUAUGUGAAAAUUAAAUUCAGAAUUAAAUUGAUUAAUUGACCACCA